Molecule: ribosomal RNA, 2907 nt
Filed under: Yersinia ruckeri
Lineage: Bacteria; Pseudomonadati; Pseudomonadota; Gammaproteobacteria; Enterobacterales; Yersiniaceae
Description: 23S ribosomal RNA
Rfam family: Bacterial large subunit ribosomal RNA
Source: RNAcentral
GGUUAAGCGACUAAGCGUACACGGUGGAUGCCUAGGCAGUCAGAGGCGAUGAAGGGCGUGCUAAUCUGCGAAAAGCGUCGGUAAGCUGAUAUGAAGCGUAAUAACCGACGAUACCCGAAUGGGGAAACCCAGUGCAAUUCGUUGCACUAUUGCAUGGUGAAUACAUAGCCAUGCAAGGCGAACCGGGGGAACUGAAACAUCUAAGUACCCCGAGGAAAAGAAAUCAACCGAGAUUCCCCCAGUAGCGGCGAGCGAACGGGGAAGAGCCCAGAGUCUGAAUCAGUUUGUGUGUUAGUGGAAGCGUCUGGAAAGUCGCACGGUACAGGGUGAUAGUCCCGUACACAAAAACACACUGGCUGUGAACUCGAUGAGUAGGGCGGGACACGUGACAUCCUGUCUGAAUAUGGGGGGACCAUCCUCCAAGGCUAAAUACUCCUGACUGACCGAUAGUGAACCAGUACCGUGAGGGAAAGGCGAAAAGAACCCCGGCGAGGGGAGUGAAAUAGAACCUGAAACCGUGUACGUACAAGCAGUGGGAGCACCUUCGUGGUGUGACUGCGUACCUUUUGUAUAAUGGGUCAGCGACUUAUAUUUUGUAGCAAGGUUAACCGAAUAGGGGAGCCGUAGGGAAACCGAGUCUUAACUGGGCGUCUAGUUGCAAGGUAUAGACCCGAAACCCGGUGAUCUAGCCAUGGGCAGGUUGAAGGUUGGGUAACACUAACUGGAGGACCGAACCGACUAAUGUUGAAAAAUUAGCGGAUGACUUGUGGCUGGGGGUGAAAGGCCAAUCAAACCGGGAGAUAGCUGGUUCUCCCCGAAAGCUAUUUAGGUAGCGCCUCGUGAACUCAUCUUCGGGGGUAGAGCACUGUUUCGGCUAGGGGUCCAUCCCGGAUUACCAAACCGAUGCAAACUCCGAAUACCGAAGAAUGUUAUCACGGGAGACACACGGCGGGUGCUAACGUCCGUCGUGAAGAGGGAAACAACCCAGACCGCCAGCUAAGGUCCCAAAGUCAUGGUUAAGUGGGAAACGAUGUGGGAAGGCAUAGACAGCCAGGAUGUUGGCUUAGAAGCAGCCAUCAUUUAAAGAAAGCGUAAUAGCUCACUGGUCGAGUCGGCCUGCGCGGAAGAUGUAACGGGGCUAAACCAUGCACCGAAGCUGCGGCAGCGACGCUUAGGCGUUGUUGGGUAGGGGAGCGUUCUGUAAGCCGUUGAAGGUGGCCUGUGAGGGCUGCUGGAGGUAUCAGAAGUGCGAAUGCUGACAUAAGUAACGAUAAUGCGGGUGAAAAACCCGCACGCCGGAAGACCAAGGGUUCCUGUCCAACGUUAAUCGGGGCAGGGUGAGUCGACCCCUAAGGCGAGGCUGAAAAGCGUAGUCGAUGGGAAACAGGUUAAUAUUCCUGUACUGGGUGUGACUGCGAAGGGGGGACGGAGAAGGCUAGGCUAGCCGGGCGACGGUUGUCCCGGUUUAAGCAUGUAGGCGGAGUGACUUGGUAAAUCCGGUUGCUUAUCAACGCUGAGGUGUGAUGACGAGCCACUACGGUGGUGAAGUAGUUGAUGCCAAGCUUCCAGGAAAAGCCUCUAAGCAUCAGGUGACAUUCAAUCGUACCCCAAACCGACACAGGUGGUCAGGUAGAGAAUACUCAGGCGCUUGAGAGAACUCGGGUGAAGGAACUAGGCAAAAUGGUGCCGUAACUUCGGGAGAAGGCACGCUGGCAUUAGGUAAAGAGACUUGCUCUCGGCGCCGAAGCCAGUCGCAGAUACCAGCUGGCUGCAACUGUUUAAUAAAAACACAGCACUGUGCAAACACGAAAGUGGACGUAUACGGUGUGACGCCUGCCCGGUGCUGGAAGGUUAAUUGAUGGGGUCAGCCGCAAGGCGAAGCUCUUGAUCGAAGCCCCAGUAAACGGCGGCCGUAACUAUAACGGUCCUAAGGUAGCGAAAUUCCUUGUCGGGUAAGUUCCGACCUGCACGAAUGGCGUAAUGAUGGCCAGGCUGUCUCCACCCGAGACUCAGUGAAAUUGAACUCGCUGUGAAGAUGCAGUGUACCCGCGGCAAGACGGAAAGACCCCGUGAACCUUUACUAUAGCUUGACACUGAAUAUUGAGCCUUGAUGUGUAGGAUAGGUGGGAGGCAUCGAAGCGUGGACGCCAGUCUGCGUGGAGCCAACCUUGAAAUACCACCCUUUAAUGUUUGAUGUUCUAACUCGGCCCCAUAAUCUGGGGUGAGGACAGUGUCUGGUGGGUAGUUUGACUGGGGCGGUCUCCUCCCAAAGAGUAACGGAGGAGCACGAAGGUUAGCUAAUCACGGUCGGACAUCGUGAGGUUAGUGCAAAGGCAUAAGCUAGCUUGACUGCGAGAGUGACGGCUCGAGCAGGUACGAAAGUAGGUCUUAGUGAUCCGGUGGUUCUGAAUGGAAGGGCCAUCGCUCAACGGAUAAAAGGUACUCCGGGGAUAACAGGCUGAUACCGCCCAAGAGUUCAUAUCGACGGCGGUGUUUGGCACCUCGAUGUCGGCUCAUCACAUCCUGGGGCUGAAGUAGGUCCCAAGGGUAUGGCUGUUCGCCAUUUAAAGUGGUACGCGAGCUGGGUUUAGAACGUCGUGAGACAGUUCGGUCCCUAUCUGCCGUGGGCGUUGGAAGAUUGAGAGGGGCUGCUCCUAGUACGAGAGGACCGGAGUGGACGCAUCACUGGUGUUCGGGUUGUCAUGCCAAUGGCAUUGCCCGGUAGCUAAAUGCGGAAAAGAUAAGCGCUGAAAGCAUCUAAGCGCGAAACUUGCCUCGAGAUGAGUCUUCCCUGGGGCUUUAAGCCCCCUGAAGGAACGUUAAAGACUAUGACGUUGAUAGGCUGGGUGUGUAAGUGCAGCGAUGCAUUGAGCUAACCAGUACUAAUGAUCCGUGAGGCUUAACCUU